This 357-nucleotide ribosomal RNA is filed under the name uncultured bacterium. Its description in RNAcentral is "bacterial SSU rRNA". It matches the Rfam family "Bacterial small subunit ribosomal RNA", at positions 335 to 683 of the family's 1533-position model. The record is from RNAcentral.
ACUCCUACGGGAGGCAGCAGUGGGGAAUAUUGCACAAUGGGGGAAACCCUGAUGCAGCCAUGCCGCGUGUGUGAAGAAGGCCUUCGGGUUGUAAAGCACUUUCAGUAGGGAGGAAGGUAGUGUAGUUAACACCUGCACUUAUUUGACGUUACCUACAGAAGAAGCACCGGCUAAACUCCGUGCCAGCAGCCGCGGUAAUACGGAGGGUGCGAGCGUUAAUCGGAAUUACUGGGCGUAAAGCGCAUGCAGGCGGCCUGUUAAGUCAGAUGUGAAAGCCCGGGGCUUAACCUCGGAAUUGCAUUUGAAACUGGCAGGCUAGAGUCUUGUAGAGGGGGUAGAAUUUCAGGUGUAGCGGUG